Long non-coding RNA from Herpailurus yagouaroundi (jaguarundi), 1519 nucleotides. RefSeq lists it as uncharacterized. The transcript has 3 exons. Lineage: Eukaryota; Metazoa; Chordata; Mammalia; Carnivora; Felidae. The record is from RefSeq and is a predicted model, not a curated record.
CCGAAGCAGGGGCUCAAACCCACGAACUGUGAGAAUAUGACCUGAGCCCAAACCAAGAAUCGAAUGCUUAACUGACUGAGCCACCCAGGCGCCCCUUGUUUGCAUGUUCUAGUAGGCAACUUCAUCGACCUCACUGGGCAGACUGGCGACAAGGAGCCAGGCAGCACCCAGGGACACAGUACAGCCUCCGCGACAGGGUGUGGAGGCUUUUUUAAGCCACAUAACCUAAUAGAAGGACACCUUCCUCCCUGUUCCAGACGUGUAUACGUGCGUCCUCGUAAGGAAAGGACACAGGACGUCAGAGUUCAUGGCAAGGCACUGGCGAGGGUUGGAUUCGCUCCCAGCCAGGCCAAGCACUUUUAUUCCCAGUGGCGACAGGAGAGGGCGCUCUCGGAGGGCAGAGUCCUGGUCCCACCCAACCCGUUCCUCCUGCUUCUUCCGUUGCGGCAACAUUCACCACCGACUUAUUCUCUUCCCCCCUCAGGCCACCUUCCGAGAUCAGGUGAGAGCUUACCUGUCCUCAGAAUGCACGGGUGGAGAGCCCGCUGCUUUCCUGCACUAGAGGGUGUGCCUCGCUUGCCCUUCCUUGUGGCAAAGUCAGAAAACAGUCUUGGGUUUGAAUCGUGGACUUGACCUCUUGCUGCCACUGUGGGCCUGGCCUUUGAGAUCCAGUGUCUCCAUCUGCGGCUGGGGUCGUAUUCCGGAGUCACUUCAAGGUGAGCUGCUGGCCUUAAAAAGUCCUUUGAUAUUUUGGUUUAAGCUGCUGUCCCGUUUGAGGCACCGACAGAUUCAAGUAACAGCUGGAGCCCUUUGUUCCUAACUCUCUCAUCUCAAGUUUCUGGGUGGAUUUCUUUUUGGAGAUAAUAGUCUAUGAAUCACCUUUGAAAUGAGAAUUUAUCAGCUUAGGCACUGUUCUCUUUGAAUUGUCAGAGUAAGAAUAAAAGUAACUCCCUGAAGUGUUGCUUCCUAGAUCCACUGCAAAGAUGGAGAGGAAUCCCCCAGCCCCCUUCAUCCCCAUCCGGGGACUAUGCUUGCUUGCUUGCUUUUUUAUUUGAGUAUCCUUGACACCCAAUGUUGCGUUAGUUUCAAGUGUAUAACGUAGUGAUUCAGCAAGUCUAUACGUUAUGCUGUGUUCACAAGUGUAGCUGCCAUCUGUUAACAUACAGGUCAUUACAACACCCCUGACUGUAUUCCCUGUGCUGUGCCUUUUAUCCCUGUGACUUAUCCGUUCCAUAAUGGGAAGCUUGAAUGUGCCACUGCCACUCCCCUUUGCCCAUUCGCCCCACACCCUUUCCCUCUGGCAACCAUCAGCUUGUUCUCUGUAUUUGUAGGUCUGAUUCUGCUUUUUGUCUGUUUAUUCAUUUUUUUUUUUUUAGAUUUCAUAUAUGAAUGAAACCAUAUGCUUUUUGACUAUCUCAGUCUGACUUGUUUUAUUUAGUGUAAUACCCUGUAGGGCCAUCCGUGUUGUCACAAAUGACAAGAUCUCAUCCUUUUUUAUGGCUGAGUAAUAUUCCAUUGU